AUAGAAAAACGGAGAAGAACAACGGGGAUUGCCCUAGUAACGGCGAGUGAAGCGGCAAUAGCUCAAAUUUGAAAUCUGGCCCUCGCGGUCCGAGUUGUAAUUUGUAGAGGAUGCUUUUGGUGCGGUGCCUUCCGAGUUCCCUGGAACGGGACGCCAGAGAGGGUGAGAGCCCCGUACGGUUGGACGCCUAACCUAUAUAUAGCUCCUUCGACGAGUCGAGUAGUUUGGGAAUGCUGCUCUAAAUGGGAGGUAAAUUUCUUCUAAAGCUAAAUACCGGCCAGAGACCGAUAGCGCACAAGUAGAGUGAUCGAAAGAUGAAAAGCACUUUGAAAAGAGGGUUAAAUAGCACGUGAAAUUGUUGAAAGGGAAGCGUUUGCGACCAGACCUUUUCCAGGGGGAUCAACCGGUGUUCUCACCGGUGCACUUCCCCUGGUUUAGGCCAGCAUCGGUUCUUUGAGGGGGAUAAAGGCAGGGGGAACGUAGCUCUUUCGGGAGUGUUAUAGCCCCCUGCGUAAUACCCCUCGGGGGACCGAGGACCGCGCUCUGCAAGGAUGCUGGCGUAAUGGUCGUCAACGACCCGUCUUGAAACACGGACCAAGGAGUCGAACAUUUGUGCGAGUGUUUGGGUGUUAAACCCUCACGCGUAAUGAAAGUGAACGGAGGUGAGAGCCCUUACGGGCGCAUCAUCGACCGAUCCUGAUGUCUUCGGAUGGAUUUGAGUAAGAGCAUAACUGUUCGGACCCGAAAGAUGGUGAACUAUGCGUGGAUAG
Molecule: ribosomal RNA, 770 nt
Filed under: Hypoxylon sp.
Lineage: Eukaryota; Fungi; Ascomycota; Sordariomycetes; Xylariales; Hypoxylaceae
Description: partial large subunit ribosomal RNA
Rfam family: Eukaryotic large subunit ribosomal RNA
Source: RNAcentral